RNAcentral lists this ribosomal RNA (321 nucleotides) under uncultured eukaryote. RNAcentral's name for it is "partial 18S ribosomal RNA". It matches the Rfam family "Eukaryotic small subunit ribosomal RNA", at positions 1470 to 1796 of the family's 1831-position model. The record is from RNAcentral.
CCCUUAGAUGUUCUGGGCCGCACGCGCGCUACACUGAUGAACGCAAAGAGACCACCUGUACCGAAAGGCAUGGGUAAACUUGUGAAAGUUCAUCGUGAUGGGGAUAGAUUAUUGCAAUUAUUAAUCUUCAACGAGGAAUUCCUAGUAAGCGCGAGUCAUCAGCUCGCGUUGAUUACGUCCCUGCCCUUUGUACACACCGCCCGUCGCUCCUACCGAUUGAAUGGUCCGGUGAAAUCUUCGGAUUGCUGGAUAGGACUUCAUUGACCUAUCUGCGAGAAGUUGCUUGAACCUUAUCAUUUAGAGGAAGGAGAANUCGUANCA